CAAAAAAUUCACUGACAGUGGAAAGGUCAUGAAGUAAAAGCUUACAUGGUGCGUAAUUGCUACACAAUAAAGAUAAACUGACAAUCAA
Molecule: non-coding RNA, 88 nt
Filed under: Paramoeba aestuarina
Lineage: Eukaryota; Discosea; Flabellinia; Dactylopodida; Paramoebidae
Source: RNAcentral